AGAACGAACGCUGGCGGCAUGCCUAAUACAUGCAAGUCGAACGAACACUUCGGUGUUAGUGGCGCACGGGUGCGUAACGCGUGGGAAUCUGCCCUUGGGUUCGGAAUAACAGUUGGAAACGACUGCUAAUACCGGAUGAUGACGAAAGUCCAAAGAUUUAUCGCCCAGGGAUGAGCCCGCGUAGGAUUAGCUAGUUGGUGAGGUAAAGGCUCGACCAAGGCGACGAUCCUUAGC
Molecule: ribosomal RNA, 234 nt
Filed under: uncultured soil bacterium
Lineage: Bacteria
Description: partial 16S ribosomal RNA
Rfam family: Bacterial small subunit ribosomal RNA
Source: RNAcentral